This 289-nucleotide unclassified non-coding RNA is filed under the name Inocybe sp. RNAcentral's name for it is "partial contains 5.8S ribosomal RNA, internal transcribed spacer 2, and large subunit ribosomal RNA". The record is from RNAcentral. Lineage: Eukaryota; Fungi; Basidiomycota; Agaricomycetes; Agaricales; Inocybaceae.
CGCAUCUUGCGCUCCUUGGUAUUCCGAGGAGCAUGUCUGUUUGAGUGUCAUUAAAUUCUCAAUCACCUGUAUUGUUGCUGGUGAAUGGACUAUGGGAGCUUGCUGGCCUUGUCAGCUCUCCUUAAAAGUAUUAGCCUGGCAAUAUAUGCCAUUUGGUGUUGGGGGUAUGAUAAUAUCUAUACUCUGUCCACCAGUUGUGCAGGCCUGCUUCUAACACAGUAGUCGUCUUUUGAUGACUUCCCUUGACCAAUUUGACCUCAAAUCAGAUAGGACUACCCGCUGAACUUAA